UUCAACAUCAUCUUCACUAAGAAAUUCACUAAUACUUCCAGAACCACCACCACCCUUAAACUUCCCUCUUUCAACCACCUCCUCCUCAUCAUCAUCAUUAUCACUACUCAAUCCAAAUCUUCUCCUCGAAUUCGAAUUCAAAUAAGGUUUUUUCUUCCCAAAAUUAGAACCUGGACCUCUACUAACACUACUCUUCUGUGGCCGAAACCCACCGUCUCUAUCAACAGGUUCACGACCAGAACCCACUCUUUCAACCACCUCAUUAUCACCUCCAUCAUCAUCACUACUCAAUCCAAAUCUUCUAUUGGAAUUCGAAUUCAAAUUAGGUUUUCUCUUCACAAAAUUAGAACCUGAACCUCUACUAACACUACUCUUUCGUGGCCGAAACCCACCCUCUCUAUCACCCGUUUCACGACCAGAACUCACUCUCUGAGCAGGUUUCAUGGUCUCAGCUCGACCGGUUCGCAAAUCAU
RNAcentral lists this long non-coding RNA (473 nucleotides) under Trifolium pratense (red clover). RNAcentral's name for it is "long non-coding RNA (TPRA_LNC002509)". Lineage: Eukaryota; Viridiplantae; Streptophyta; Magnoliopsida; Fabales; Fabaceae. The record is from RNAcentral.